GUGUCAGCCGCCGCGGUAAUACGUAGGGUGCGAGCGUUAAUCGGAAUUACUGGGCGUAAAGGGUGCGCAGGCGGUCUCGUAAGCUGGGUGUGAAAGCCCCGGGCUUAACCUGGGAAUGGCAUUCAGGACUGCGAGGCUUUGAGUGCGGCAGAGGGAGGUGGAAUUCCACGUGUAGCAGUGAAAUGCGUAGAGAUGUGGAGGAACACCGAUGGCGAAGGCAGCCUCCUGGGCCAGCACUGACGCUCAUGCACGAAAGCGUGGGGAGCAAACAGGAUUAGAAACCCCCGUAGUCC
RNAcentral lists this ribosomal RNA (293 nucleotides) under uncultured bacterium. RNAcentral's name for it is "partial 16S ribosomal RNA". It matches the Rfam family "Bacterial small subunit ribosomal RNA", at positions 505 to 796 of the family's 1533-position model. The record is from RNAcentral.